UGGAACUGGAGUGAGAACAACAUGCUUGAUGAAACAUGUCAAGCUACGUUAUAUUGUAGUUGGAUCUCAAUAAGGACUGCCUAAUCAAAAGGGCCCGCAAGAAGAACUGGGUUAUUUCAUGAAGGCUGAGGUCCUUCAGCAGAAAUGUGGCAUAAAUAGAGUGCAGUGGAUAGUCCUGUGUAUAAGAGGAAAAUUUUAAAUUCAAUGUUCUCUGAAACUCCAAAACCAGAAAGAAACAAAAGGAGAAAUCAAGCUACAGAGGAGAGGUGAAACAGGACAGGAAUUCUCUCUCAGACAAGGGAAAUGUCCUUUCCAAGCACAUAAGGAAAUCUGUUUUGCAGCAGCAGGUUCACUCCACAUGGAAUCUCUGUACUUUUAUGACAUGUACAGUUGGUUGUAAUGCCAUACUGGGUAUCAUGUAUAACAUCAAAGAGCUAAGUAAGUAUAAAGGUAUGUUGUAUUUCUUCAGUUCAUGUCAACAAAAUCCUUUUCA
This 493-nucleotide long non-coding RNA is filed under the name Zonotrichia albicollis (white-throated sparrow). RNAcentral describes it as "lncRNA (ENSZALG00000012025.1)". The record is from RNAcentral. Lineage: Eukaryota; Metazoa; Chordata; Aves; Passeriformes; Passerellidae.